UACGUAGGCAGCGAGCGUUGUUCGGAAUUACUGGGCGUAAAGGGCGCGUAGGCGGCCUGCUAAGUCGGAUGUGAAAUCCCUCGGCUCAACCGAGGAACUGCAUCCGAUACUGGCGGGCUUGAAUCCGGGAGAGGGAUGUGGAAUUCCAGGUGUAGCGGUGAAAUGCGUAGAUAUCUGGAGGAACACCGGUGGCGAAGGCGGCAUCCUGGACCGGUAUUGACGCUGAGGCGCGAAAGCUAGGGGAGCAAACGGG
This 253-nucleotide ribosomal RNA is filed under the name uncultured bacterium. RNAcentral's name for it is "partial 16S ribosomal RNA". It matches the Rfam family "Bacterial small subunit ribosomal RNA", at positions 524 to 776 of the family's 1533-position model. The record is from RNAcentral.